This 72-nucleotide transfer RNA is filed under the name Candidatus Riesia sp. GBBU. It matches the Rfam family "tRNA". From Rfam's summary of the family: Transfer RNA (tRNA) molecules are approximately 80 nucleotides in length. Their secondary structure includes four short double-helical elements and three loops (D, anti-codon, and T loops). The record is from Rfam by way of RNAcentral. Lineage: Bacteria; Pseudomonadati; Pseudomonadota; Gammaproteobacteria; Enterobacterales; Enterobacteriaceae.
GCGGGAAUAGCUCAGUGGUAGAGCGUAAUCUUGCCAAGAUUAUGGUCGCGAGUUCGAAUCUCGUUUCCCGCU